GGACUUAUAGCUCAGUUGGUUAGAGCUCUCGCUUGAUAAGCGUGAUGUCAGUAGUUCAAGUCUACUUAAGUCCA
This 74-nucleotide transfer RNA is filed under the name Malawimonas californiana (nom. ined.). Its description in RNAcentral is "Malawimonas californiana tRNA-Ile". It matches the Rfam family "tRNA". From Rfam's summary of the family: Transfer RNA (tRNA) molecules are approximately 80 nucleotides in length. The record is from RNAcentral. Lineage: Eukaryota; Malawimonada; Malawimonadea; Malawimonadida; Malawimonadidae.